RNAcentral lists this ribosomal RNA (235 nucleotides) under uncultured Actinomycetales bacterium. Its description in RNAcentral is "partial 16S ribosomal RNA". It matches the Rfam family "Bacterial small subunit ribosomal RNA", at positions 97 to 334 of the family's 1533-position model. The record is from RNAcentral. Lineage: Bacteria; Bacillati; Actinomycetota; Actinomycetes; Actinomycetales.
GGCGAACGGGUGAGUAACACGUGGGUAAUCUGCCCUGCACUCUGGGAUAAGCCUGGGAAACUGGGUCUAAUACUGGAUAUGACCUUUCUCCUUAUGGGGUUUGGUGGAAAGUCUUUCGGUGUAGGAUGAGCCCGCGGCCUAUCAGCUUGUUGGUGGGGUGAUGGCCUACCAAGGCGACGACGGGUAGCCGGCCUGAGAGGGUGAUCGGCCACAUUGGGACUGAGAUACGGCCCAG